RNAcentral lists this ribosomal RNA (384 nucleotides) under uncultured bacterium. Its description in RNAcentral is "partial 16S ribosomal RNA". It matches the Rfam family "Bacterial small subunit ribosomal RNA", at positions 355 to 727 of the family's 1533-position model. The record is from RNAcentral.
UAGGGAAUCUUCCACAAUGGACGCAAGUCUGAUGGAGCAACGCCGCGUGAAAGUGAAGAAGGCUUUCGGGUCGUAAAACUCUGUUAUUGAAGAAGAACGUGCGUGACAGUAACUGGUCAUGCAGUGACGGUAUUCAAUCAGAAAGUCACGGCUAACUACGUGCCAGCAGCCGCGGUAAUACGUAGGUGGCAAGCGUUGUCCGGAUUUAUUGGGCGUAAAGCGAGUGCAGGCGGUCUUUUAAGUCUGAUGUGAAAGCCUUCGGCUUAACCGAAGAAGGGCAUCGGAAACUGGGAGACUUGAGUGCAGAAGGAGGAGAGUGGAACUCCAUGUGUAGCAGGUGAAAUGCGUAGAUAUAUGGAAGAACACCAGUGGCGAAGGCGGCUC